CCUACGGGAGGCAUCAGUAGGGAAUCUUUCACAAUGGGCGAAAGCCUGAUGGAGCAACGCCGCGUGCAGGAUGAAGGCCUUCGGGUUGUAAACUUCUUUUAUAAGCGAAAAAUAGUAUGUUACCUAAUGAAUAGGGAUUGGACAGAACCGCGCCAGCAGCCGCGGUCUAACGUAGGAGCUGAGCAUUAUCCGGAGUGACGGGGUGUAAAGAGUGGAGGAAGUGGGAUAAUAAGUAGCUAGUGAAAUCUGGUGGCUUAACCAUUCAGACUAUUAGCGAAACUGUUAAGCUCGAGAACGUGAGGGGUAAGUGGAAUUGCUAGUGUAGGAGUGAAAUCCGUAGAUAUUAGAAGGAACACCAAUAGCGAAGGCAGGUUGCUGGGACGGUUCUGACACUAAGGCACGAAAGCGUAGGGAGCAAACGGGAUUAGAUACCCUUGUAGUC
Molecule: ribosomal RNA, 442 nt
Filed under: uncultured bacterium
Lineage: Bacteria
Description: partial 16S ribosomal RNA
Rfam family: Bacterial small subunit ribosomal RNA
Source: RNAcentral